UCUUAGAACAACUUGGUUUAACCAAGUGCAAGGAUAGCAUUGUUGGAAGCACAACUUUGAGGGGUGUUUCCGGGGGAGAGAGAAAAAGGGUUAGCAUUGGGCAAGAAUUGCUUAUAAAUCCAAGCUUGUUGUUUUUAGAUGAACCUACCUCUGGGUUAGACUCAACCACAGCACAGAGGAUUGUGUCAACUUUGUGGGAGCUUGCAAGAGGAGGGAGGACUGUUGUGAUGACAAUACACCAGCCUUCAAGUAGGUUAUACUACUUGUUUCAUAAAGUGUUGUUGCUGGCAGAAGGGAACACUUUGUAUUUUGGGAAGGGAUCUGAAGCUAUUGAGUACUUUUCUAGUAUUGGAUAUGCGCCAGCAAUGGCCAUGAACCCUUCAGACUUCCUUUUGGAUCUUGCAAAUGGUAUGCUUUUAAUUUUUAUGCAUAUUAGCAAAUAUGAUAUGUCCUGUGAUAUUUUACUAAACACUUUGGUCUACAUUUUAGUUUUACUUUGAAUGUAGACCAUGUUAAAUCCUGAGCACCCAUGAACCAUGUUGUUACAAUUAACAUUCAGUAUAUAUCAUUUGCAAUAUAAUUCAUAUGUGCUAAAACUAAUUUGUAGAAAAACUCUUUUAACUUGUGAAUCAUGUUUUUCAUGGUCAACAUUAUACAGAGCAUAUAUUGAAUUUAACAUUGUUCUUGGAUCUCUAUAUAUUUGGAAUCUGUUAAAUUGUUAAGUGCUAUUUGCUCCUGGAACUGGCAACUGGACUAGCACAUUUUGUCUGAACGAAAAUAUUUGGUAUCGUUUUUUAAAUUAAACUUUUCUUAGAGAAUUUGAAGCUUCAUCCAAUGAGAUGUUGGUUUAGUGUUACAUGUUGAUUCCCUUUAAAUAAGAUAUCGAGUUUGAGUGUUGUGUAUUCUUAAAACCAUGCUGAGAGAGCUAAUUCCCUUAAACUAUGAAUCAUCCUGACUCGAACAGGUUUGGCUCUUUUUUUUCUUUGUCCAUGAAUUUACAGCUUUUAACUUUCAACAUCUAAACAAUAAUAAUAUUAUAGUAGAGUGAUAAGUUCUCUGUUGAUGUGUAAAAGUCCAAAUGAAAAAAUGAUUAUGUUUGAUGUUUAUUUAAAAGAAAACAUUUGAUAUUGGAUUAUACCUUGUUACUUUGCUAAGUGAGGAAAAUUUGCAGGUAUCUACACUGAUGGGUUAAACCAGGACCAUGUCAUAGAUAAACAACAUUUGAUUUCCACAUUUAAGAGCAAGUUUGAUGCACAAUUGAAGUCAAUAAAUCAAGAAAUCAGUGACCCUGAAAUUAGUCAGCGUAGAUUUCAAGGCACAGGCUCAAAGUGAAACAUGCAAAAGAUGUCUUAGAACAACUUGGUUUAACCAAGUGCAAGGAUAGCAUUGUUGGAAGCACAACUUUGAGGGGUGUUUCCGGGGGAGAGAGAAAAAGGGUUAGCAUUGGGCAAGAAUUGCUUAUAAAUCCAAGCUUGUUGUUUUUAGAUGAACCUACCUCUGGGUUAGACUCAACCACAGCACAGAGGAUUGUGUCAACUUUGUGGGAGCUUGCAAGAGGAGGGAGGACUGUUGUGAUGACAAUACACCAGCCUUCAAGUAGGUUAUACUACUUGUUUCAUAAAGUGUUGUUGCUGGCAGAAGGG
Molecule: long non-coding RNA, 1643 nt
Filed under: Lotus japonicus
Lineage: Eukaryota; Viridiplantae; Streptophyta; Magnoliopsida; Fabales; Fabaceae
Description: long non-coding RNA (LJAP_LNC001529)
Source: RNAcentral